CAGUUCAGAUUGCAGGCUGCAACUCGCCUGCAUGAAGUUGGAAUUGCUAGUAAUCGCGAAUCAGAAUGUCGCGGUGAAUACGUUCCCGGGCCUUGUACACACCGCCCGUCACACCAUGAGAGUCGAUAACACCCGAAGCCUGUGAGCUAACCGUAAGGAGGCAGCAGUCGAAGGUGGGGUUGAUGAUUGGGGUGAAGUCGUAACAAGGUAAC
This 212-nucleotide ribosomal RNA is filed under the name uncultured bacterium. Its description in RNAcentral is "partial 16S ribosomal RNA". It matches the Rfam family "Bacterial small subunit ribosomal RNA", at positions 1289 to 1500 of the family's 1533-position model. The record is from RNAcentral.